CUGAAAUGGACUAACUGAGCACUCCGUCCGUCAAUUGUGCAUCUUAGGACCUGAGCCUAGCUCAGUUGGGUUGGGAUUGUGGAUGUACUCGUAAGUGGUUAUGGGUAAACCGACAUGCAGAAGAGCUCUAACAACAAGCACAAAGUUUGCAUUAUUACGACAUGAAAUUUGAUGUAUUAAAAACACGAUACAAAAGGUAAAUGAAACGAUGACACACCCUGAAAAUCAAGAAUUGCAACUUUUAGCUACUGUAAUGGUAAUAGUUGGCAAAUCUGGUGUUCAGAAUUUUGGUCUGCAGUGGUUGACUUGUUAGUGUGCAGAGAAGAAACAAUGACUCACUCACAGGUGCCAGUUUUGUUGCUCAUAUAAUGAGCAUAUUGUUGUAUGUGUCAGCUUCCAACUGAAAGGAGUAAAACCCUGGGUUAAUUCCUGCAGGUUCCAAAAACUACGAAUGAUAAAUAAAGUACAGUGAAAACAAAUUGCAUACUGCUAGAUGAGCUUCCCUGAGAUGUACACUUGAAGAGGAUUAAUAAUAAAGCUGAAACUAGUAAUAGUAGUGUCUAUCAAGAAAAAUAAGGGAGCCAGUAGCAUACAUGCAGAAACUAGGGAAAGUAAAUACCUGCAAACUACAGAAGCAGUAGCUAUAGCAACUGUUUGAUGGAUUGGACAAAAAACAAUUAUCCAUGCUUAAGUUGUGUAAUUGCUUGCGGUACUAUUCUGUAAUACAAAGCAGAAUCUGCUUCAUAACAUAUCCUUUCAUGAGAUCAGAGUGACAAACAAUUUAUCGUGUGCUACCAAAACUAAUAUUUCGGAGCCAUCAAGAGGAAACCAUACAUAUAAAAUAUGUGCAAGAUAAAUAAUCCUAAUUGGAACCAGUUAACUAGUUAUCACCUAUUCUGCUCUCCUACACGCUAUUAAUAUAUGUGAGUGGCAACAUGUGGACUGAAGCUUCACUUUUCAGACGAGUGCAACUUAGAGGCUUCUUCAUCUUCUGUUAUUCCUUUUAUGUAGGAUCUUCAACUAAAGUUUUCCUUCAUAUGCAAUUUUACAGCUAU
Molecule: long non-coding RNA, 1055 nt
Filed under: Triticum aestivum (bread wheat)
Lineage: Eukaryota; Viridiplantae; Streptophyta; Magnoliopsida; Poales; Poaceae
Description: long non-coding RNA (TAES_LNC008907)
Source: RNAcentral